CAGCCGCCGCGGUAAUACGAAGGGUGCAAGCGUUAAUCGGAAUUACUGGGCGUAAAGCGCGCGUAGGCGGUUUUGUAUGUCGAUUGUGAAAGCCCCGGGCUCAACCUGGGAACUGCAGUCGAAACUGCAAGACUUGAAUGUUGGAGAGGUUGGGGGAAUACCUAGUGGAGAAGUGAAAUUCGUAGAGAUUAGGUGGAACACCAGAGGCGAAGGCGCCUGACUGGCCAAACAUUGACGCUAAGGCGCGAAAGCGUGGGUAGCAAACAGGAUUAGAUACCCGCGUAGUCCCUGUCUCUUAUAC
This 301-nucleotide ribosomal RNA is filed under the name uncultured bacterium. Its description in RNAcentral is "partial 16S ribosomal RNA". It matches the Rfam family "Bacterial small subunit ribosomal RNA", at positions 509 to 807 of the family's 1533-position model. The record is from RNAcentral.